RNAcentral lists this unclassified non-coding RNA (1487 nucleotides) under Hevea brasiliensis (rubber tree). The record is from RNAcentral. Lineage: Eukaryota; Viridiplantae; Streptophyta; Magnoliopsida; Malpighiales; Euphorbiaceae.
UCUCUCUCUCUCUCUCUCCAUUUUCUCCCUCUUAUAAAAGGGCGAACUAAUGCACAAAGCAUCCUCUCAUAAAAUGAUUUCAAAAUUAUCUGUCAUUUAAUUAGUCUCUGUGCUACUAUUUGAAACUCACAUGAGAUAACUCAUGGCUAGUAAAUAUAACAGCCCAAUAAACAUGGUUAGAUUUUGCACUGCUAUAGUCACUGUUAAAGAAUACAGUUUGUAGCACCAGAAUAAUCCCUUGCAGAAUGGUUAACUGACACUUCAGACCAUUUGAUCACUUACAGAAUAUUGAAAGUAGGGAACACAAUUAACUCAGAGUCAAGGCCAAAGGGGAGACCAUCCAAAAACUUUUCCCCAUUCUGCUAAAAUUUAAGGCCAUCUAGUUCAUCAUAUUCCUUCACAGAAUCUCAACCCACAUUCUUUGCACUGGUUUAUUCCAUAUAACUAUUUAUCUGAGAAUUCAUUAGCCUUCAUGGACAUGACAAAGCACAAAGCUAAACACUUCUCCACAGAAAACAAUUUGAUUAAUAUUUUGCGUCCUUUUCACAAUUUAAAGGGAAACACAAACUUAAACCCUCUUACACAAAGUCUUAACUCGCCUACAACGAAGGCAAAAAAAUGAAAAAAAAAAAUGACAGUUUUCAAGUUAAUAAUACAAGAGAUCAUAAGGACGCAUGAGCAUCAAGGAAGAUGUAACUUACGCAUACUUAAAUGAGAGACAAUGCAGAGGAGCUUUAUUAGUUUCAUCCAUCAUCUUUCUUCAAUAGCUUAGGAGAGAAAUGCAUCCUAGAAUAGAGCACAGCAAUCAAACUUUCUAACCACAAUUCUCUGUAUAGAAAUGCAGCAACCAGUGCACAAAUGAAAUCAAGUAUGUGUAAUUAUUACCAUCAGAGAGGCAAAAACCAUUCUUUUCCACAUUUAACAUUGCAAGUUUGAUCAACUUUUGACACAUUGUUACUCAUACUAAGCAUCUGAAGCUGAAGUUCCCUGUUCGACAGAUUUUGCUCUACUGGAGUAUAGGAUCCAAAUUUAAUCCAAACUAAAUAAGGAAAAAGAAAAGAAAAGAAACCUUACACACACAGUUCAUACCUUCCUCGUGACUUUGAUGAUUUUCACCUUUAGCCUUUUCAAUAUCAGAAUUUAAAGACCGGGCAAGCCAUUUAACACGAUUUAAUCGUAACCCUUUCGGAGGCACACAACUGGAAUUUGCGUUUACAUUUCCCCUAAUGAUCAAAUCUGCAGCAAUUAUGUGAUUAUUAGAAAUAUCUACAGGAUCAUCCAGUGACCUCGCCAGAUGUUUCAAAUGGUUUAGACGCAAUCUUCUGGGUAAUUUAGCUAAUAUAUGAGCCGGAAUUUCCAAACCUACAGAAUUCUUGUGCCCUGAAUUGAGACCAACAUUGCAUUGGGCAUCAACAAUCGAAACGGAAAUCAAUGGUGGGUAAUCGUUACUUUUGGCAGCGAGCGUGGUGGAGGAGGAGGUGGUGGAU